ACGUAGGGGGCAAGCGUUGUCCGGAAUCAUUGGGCGUAAAGAGCGUGUAGGCGGCUCGGUAAGUCCGCUCUGAAAGCCCGGGGCUCAACCCCGGGAGGCGGGCGGAUACUGUCGAGCUAGAGUCCGGAAGAGGCGAGUGGAAUUCCUGGUGUAGCGGUGAAAUGCGCAGAUAUCAGGAGGAACACCAAUGGCGAAGGCAGCUCGCUGGGACGGUACUGACGCUGAGACGCGAAAGCGUGGGGAGCAAACAGGAUUAGAUACCCUGGUAGUCCACGCUGUAAACGAUGGGCACUAGGUGUGGGGGGUGUCGACUCCCUCCGUGCCGACGCUAACGCAUUAAGUGCCCCGCCUGGGGAGUACGGCCGCAAGGCUA
RNAcentral lists this ribosomal RNA (373 nucleotides) under uncultured bacterium. RNAcentral's name for it is "bacterial SSU rRNA". It matches the Rfam family "Bacterial small subunit ribosomal RNA", at positions 525 to 896 of the family's 1533-position model. The record is from RNAcentral.